CCUACGGGUGGCAGCAGUGGGGAAUAUUGGGCAAUGGAGGCAACUCUGACCCAGCAACGCCGCGUGAGCGAUGACGGUCUUCGGAUUGUAAAGCUCUUUAAGCGGGGACGAAGAAAGUCACUGUACCCGCAGAAUAAGCCUCCGCUAACUACGUGCCAGCAGCCGCGGUAAUGCGUAGGAGGCAAGCGUUAUCCGGUAUGACUGGGCGGAAAGGGUGCGGAGGUGGUUUGGCAAGUUGGUAGCGUAAUCCCGGGGCUCAACCUGGGUGCGAUUACCAAAACGGUUGAACGUGAGUGAAGGAGGGGUGAAUGGAAUUCCCAGUGUAGCGGGGGAAUGCGUAGAUAUUGGGAAGAACACCAGCGGCGAAGGCGAUUCACUGGACUGUAACUGACACUGAGGCACGAAAGCGUGGGGAGCAAACAGGAUUAGAUACCCGGGUAGUC
Molecule: ribosomal RNA, 443 nt
Filed under: uncultured bacterium
Lineage: Bacteria
Description: partial 16S ribosomal RNA
Rfam family: Bacterial small subunit ribosomal RNA
Source: RNAcentral